This 119-nucleotide ribosomal RNA is filed under the name Triticum aestivum (bread wheat). The record is from RNAcentral. Lineage: Eukaryota; Viridiplantae; Streptophyta; Magnoliopsida; Poales; Poaceae.
GGAUGCGAUCAUACCAGCACUAAAGCACCGGAUCCCAUCAGAACUCCGAAGUUAAGCGUGCUUGGGCGAGAGUAGUACAAGGAUGGGUGACGUUCCGGGAAGUCCUCGUGUUGCAUUCC